RNAcentral lists this ribosomal RNA (443 nucleotides) under uncultured bacterium. Its description in RNAcentral is "partial 16S ribosomal RNA". It matches the Rfam family "Bacterial small subunit ribosomal RNA", at positions 338 to 795 of the family's 1533-position model. The record is from RNAcentral.
CCUACGGGAGGCAGCAGUGGGGAAUAUUGGACAAUGGGGGGAACCCUGAUCCAGCGACGCCGCGUGAGUGAAGAAGUAUUUCGGUAUGUAAAGCUCUUUCAGCAGGGAAGAAAGAAAUGACGGUACCUGACUACGAAGCCCCGGCUAACUACGUGCCAGCAGCCGCGGUAAUACGUAGGGGGCAAGCGUUAUCCGGAUUUACUGGGUGUAAAGGGAGCGUAGACGGCGAUGCAAGUCUGAAGUGAAAGGCGGGGGCCCAACCCCCGGACUGCUUUGGAAACUGUAUGGCUGGAGUGCAGGAGAGGUAAGUGGAAUUCCUAGUGUAGCGGUGAAAUGCGUAGAUAUUAGGAGGAACACCAGUGGCGAAGGCGGCUUACUGGACUGUAACUGACGUUGAGGCUCGAAAGCGUGGGGAGCAAACAGGAUUAGAUACCCCAGUAGUC